Molecule: long non-coding RNA, 1212 nt
Filed under: Felis catus (domestic cat)
Lineage: Eukaryota; Metazoa; Chordata; Mammalia; Carnivora; Felidae
Description: lncRNA (ENSFCAG00000051058.1)
Source: RNAcentral
UUACCUCAUCAGUUACUCCUCAGGGUUCUGCCAUCCCAGAUUAAGUUUACAUAAACCAACUGCCUCUGAAAGAGCAAUUUCUUAAAGGAAAUGCUUUCACUUGCUCACUCUUUUUUUUUUUUAAUUUUUUUUCAACGUUUAUUUAUUUUUGGGACAGAGAGAGACAGAGCAUGAACGGGGGAGGGGCAGAGAGAGAGGGAGACACAGAAUCGGAAACAGGCUCCAGGCUCUGAGCCAUCAGCCCAGAGCCUGAUGCGGGGCUCGAACUCACGGACCGCGAGAUCGUGACCUGACUGAAGUCGGACGCUUAACCGACUGCGCCACCCAGGCGCCCCACUUGCUCACUCUUAAUCACAUGCUUAACUACAUCUGUAUUUGGACAUGCAUGAAUUUUUGAGCUUAAGGAAAACCAAUCCUGCUGGUCAGAAAUAUCCUAAACCUGUCACUUCAGGGAACAACCCCUCACUAAUAUAACUUUCCCAGUCACCAAAAUGAAAUGAGUGACACGAUUUUUUUCAUUUACAUAAUUAUAGUAAUACAAGAACUUACUUUUGCAAACACUACUAUACUAUUGUACCAACACUACUAUAUAGAAAAAGUUAAAAGAUUUUAUUAAAAUCCUAUCAUAUUCACAAGCCAUUCUCUUUAUUUUUUAUCUCUUCCUGUCUUUAUCCUAAAAGGGUGAUAUUUGUGUAGAUUUUAAGUAGCAUAUGUGAAAUUUUAGAGGCUUCAUUUCUUCAUGUCAUGACAAUAUUCUAAAUUUCAGGUGAUUUGAGUGAAAAAUAUUUUUUAAUAUGAGAAACAUUAUGAUGUUUAUAUUCCCUGUUAGUUUUCUUUCCUUCACUAUAUUCUUUAGUUCAAUUCUUAGAAACUACAUCAUGAGAGUUUGAAUAUUUUAAUAACCCCAAAAUAUCUUACCCACUGCUCCAAACAUUAACUGUAGCUCUCAUAGCUCAUGAGAUCAAGCCCUGCAUCAGGCUCAGCACUGAGCAUGGAGCCUGCUUAAGGUUCUCUCUCUCCCUCCCUCUCUUCCCUUCUCUUUCUCUUAGAAAGAGGGAGAGAGAGUAUAGGUAUAACAAUUCUCAUUGUGUAGUGAGAAGGAAAAUUAAUGAGGGUCCCAAGUUACAUCUACGAUUCCUCCAAGGGACAUAAGGCGGUACAAAAUGUUAAAGAUGUUGGCUGGGGCUGAAUAAAAGAUGAGGACUAGAAACA